AGGGUUUCAAUCCCUCCUGGUGAUGCCAACAAGGAUGACACGUCAGAAAUAGGAAGCCUCCUGCGUUGACACGUCAGAUACGCUCCGUAUCACUUAAAGCUCUGUCGGAACGGGCUUCACGUUGGCUUCGUCACGUACAUAAUUAACAUACGAAUCUAUAAUUAUUAUUGUUUCCGUUUGGGCUUUCAUUUAUAUUCGUUGUUAUUAUUUAGCUUCAUAGAGCCCAUUUAUAAAGAGUAAGUCAUCUACUCAAAACGCUACGUUUUUGAUUCUAUGGUUUUAUCCUGUCUUUUUUCUCAGCCGCUGCGAUACCAUACCCCACUCUAGGGUUUCGAUCGAGAUGUUUCAUCUUCUUCCUACGGAUUCAGAAAUCUACCAGUUACAGAUUCAUCAUCUUAAAGUUCUUAUUAGAUCCAUCAUCCAUGAUCUACUUUGAAUGCGAGAUUCGCUCAUGCAAGGCGGUGUAUCUACGGGUAUAAAAAGGUAUGCUUCACUCAUCUCAAAACCAUCUUUCCAACAAGACUCCGAUAGGAAACGAACCGGAAAGAACUCAAACAGCGGCGCUUCUGCGGUUUCCUCAGGUGUGAAGCUAGCUCAGGAUCAUCACGGGGCAAAAAGAAUCCUAUUCAGAUGCUAUUUAAGAAGGCUAAUCUAGCAAUAUAAAGAGAAGAGAAAAUCGCUAUUAUAAGUUCCAACAGGUGCAGGAAGAGUAUAUUACUGAAGCUAAUUAUUAGUUUAGAGAAAGCAAUGAAAGGUGCAGUUGUUCUUGGAGAGCACAAUGUAGUGCCAAACUACUUUGAACAGUUUCAGCUUAGGUGGAGUCAACCAAAAUCGUCCCGGAAGUGGCUCCAAGUAUGGUGGUGUCCAGUAACUUAAGAGCGUAACACUUACGAUCUAAACGUAUACAUUCUCAACAAUCCUCUGCAGUCAGGCGGAGUUUCUUUACUCUAGGAAAGUUGAGGCCAUCGAAACUUGCAACGGAUGCUGCUAUGUUUCGUGUUCCCAAAUGUUCAAAAAAAACUGCAGUGUGGACUAUCAUCCUUCAGCCGCACGAUAUGUAUUGCCAUAGCUGCAAUCGGUGCCGCCACGUGAUACUCCGCCUCUUUGAAAGACUACUCAUGGAGCUUGGGUUUAGAAUAGCUGUGUUUGUUGUUUUCGACUCAGCAUCUAACUUGCGAUGGUUGUCUCAGAUAAGACAGAAACAGCUGUAUUGCUUUCGACUCAACAAUGACAUCUAACAAAUGUUUGUGCCACAGAGUUGACACUGAAAUGGGACAAGGUGGAUGAGGGUGGGAGCAGUGUCGCAGAACCCAUACGGGCGUUACCAGAUCCUACGCCUAUGAAGCCAAAGAGCAUUUACGAUUUUGAGUAAAACUCAUAAUAAUGUGCCCUCUAAUCUCAAGCAGCUCAAUUGUCAUCUACUAUCUUUUAAUAGAUUCUGCUUCCAGUUUAUUAAUUGUAAGGCCUUUUAAAUCUUCGUCCUAUAUAAUUAUUUGGGUUUUUAUUACAAAUAAAAACUUUCACAUCUAAAUAUGUUAAUAAUAAUACAUUGCCAGUA
Brassica napus (rape) is the source of this 1558-nucleotide long non-coding RNA. RefSeq lists it as uncharacterized. The record is from RefSeq and is a predicted model, not a curated record. NCBI's taxonomy places the organism in Eukaryota, Viridiplantae, Streptophyta, Magnoliopsida, Brassicales, Brassicaceae. The transcript is spliced from 5 exons.